This 201-nucleotide non-coding RNA is filed under the name Clostridiales bacterium. Its description in RNAcentral is "T-box sequence". It matches the Rfam family "T-box leader". Rfam says of the family: Uncharged tRNA acts as the effector for transcription antitermination of genes in the T-box leader family. T-boxes are found upstream of many aminoacyl-tRNA synthetase genes and some amino acid biosynthetic genes usually in Gram-positive bacteria. Lineage: Bacteria; Bacillati; Bacillota; Clostridia; Eubacteriales. The record is from RNAcentral.
UGAAAUACAAUGAAGAAGAGAAGUAAGCAUUAAAACUUUGAGAGAUUGGGAUUCUAGGCUGAAAUAUCCCAUAAGUCAAUUGAUGCUGAAGGUAGCUUUGGAGUAGAUAAUCUGAGCUUAGUAAGAUUAUCCGGCCAUGCCGUUAGAGAAUCAAGAGCCAAUUGGAAUUAAGGUGGUACCGCGGGUUUUCUCGUCCUUUAG